Molecule: long non-coding RNA, 254 nt
Filed under: Mustela putorius furo (domestic ferret)
Lineage: Eukaryota; Metazoa; Chordata; Mammalia; Carnivora; Mustelidae
Description: lncRNA (ENSMPUG00000030454.1)
Source: RNAcentral
UAAUAAAGCUAACAUUUCUUCCUUUUUACUCCAAGUCUCUCAUCUACAAUGUAUUCUUUGUUCCAGGGUCUGAAUCAGACAGGUUCUCCUUUGAAAUCAAUAGAACACAUCACAGUUGGAAACAACAGAGAAAAUUUGGAGGAUACCUGGACAGUAAAGCUUGGAAAAUGGGCAGAAACCAGUAGUAGAUCAAAGCACAUCUCCACCCACAAGAAGCUACUGCUACUAUGGUUAUGGUCUGCGUUUGGGAGAAC